RNAcentral lists this ribosomal RNA (393 nucleotides) under Contracaecum osculatum. RNAcentral's name for it is "small subunit ribosmal RNA". Lineage: Eukaryota; Metazoa; Nematoda; Chromadorea; Rhabditida; Anisakidae. The record is from RNAcentral.
UGUAAACUUGUACUCUAAUUGAUGUCGUCCUUAAGUGUUUAUUAUUAAUUUACUUUUAGUUUUUGGGUAAAAUUAGAGAUUUUGUUAAUUGUUAUUUGAGGACAAAAAAUUUAGUGAGCAAGCCAGAUUAGUACCUGGUUAGAUAAAAGUUAAAAGAGCAGGAGUAAGGUUAUAUUUAAACUGUAAGAAUAUUGGCAGGUUUUUAAAUUAUCUUUGGAGGUUGAAUAGUAAUUGAGAGCCCUCAUUAUCUACUUUUAUUUUAGGCGCAUGUAUGAUCGUUUAUUUUAUUCUUGAGGAUUGUAAUUUUAGUUUAUAACUGUAAAAAUAGAUAUAUACUUGGUCUAUAUUAAAGUUUAUUUUGACCUACAAUAUUAUAUUUUUUGGAUAAUAUUC